UGAACGCUGGCGGCGUGCUUAACACAUGCAAGUCGAUCGGUAACAGGUGUAGCAAUACAUGCUGACGAGAGGCGGACGGGUGAGGAACGCUUGGGAAUCUGCCCAUUAGCGGGGGACAACCCGGGGAAACCCGGGCUAAUACCGCAUACGCUCUAUGGAGGAAAGCCGGGGACCGCAAGGCCUGGCACUGAUGGAUGAGCCCAAGUCGGAUUAGCUAGUUGGCGGGGUAACGGCCCACCAAGGCGACGAUCCGUAGCUGGUCUGAGAGGACGAUCAGCCACACUGGAACUGAGACACGGUCCAGACUCCUACGGGAGGCAGCAGUGGGGAAUAUUGGACAAUGGGGGGAAACCCUGAUCCAGCGACGCCGCGUGGGUGAAGAAGGCCUGCGGGUUGUAAAGCCCUUUCGGUAGGGACGAAAGCUCUCGACCUAACACGUCGGGAGGUUGACUUAACCUACAAAGAAGCACCGGCUAACUCUGUGCCAGCCG
This 491-nucleotide ribosomal RNA is filed under the name uncultured bacterium. RNAcentral describes it as "bacterial SSU rRNA". It matches the Rfam family "Bacterial small subunit ribosomal RNA", at positions 30 to 514 of the family's 1533-position model. The record is from RNAcentral.